UAAUUACUUGUUCGGUCAUUUCUGUAAUAAUUAUUCAAAGUGGUUAAAAGUAGAGUUGAAUCUUAAAAAAUAGGAAAGAGAAGAUACCUUUAGAUAUACAACAUAAAUAAGAUAAUUAUGAUAAUUACCAAACCAAAAAAGGAAUACCUAAAAGAAAGAAAAGAAGAUAUCAGUAACGCAUAUAUUAUCUAAAAAACAUAGAAAGCCAAUUAGAAAAAAUAGUAGAAAAGAAACAAACAAAAUUUUACAAAGAUCAACGUUACUUGAAGAAUUAACUAAAGUACAAGCUCCAGAAGAAGAACUAAAGAAUUAUGUUUCCUUGACUACAGUCCAAACAAAAGAAUUGAAACGUUAUUUUAGAGAAUUAACCGCAACUACUAUAGAAACUUUAAUUAAUCCAAUCGAUAAGUGCACUAUAAAUAAUACAGAAUCUAAAUUAAACACGAUUAAAGGUACAAAAAGAAAAAGACUGUUUAUACUUAACAACAUAAAACAGAAGUUCUCUAACUCACAUACAUUUACUGAUACAAUGACUCAGAGUCACUAGAAACGAUUGCGGGAAGCAUAAUGGAGAAUGGAAAAGAGAUUCUUGAAUUAAUUCUUUACUGAACAUUGAAGAAAAUAAAAUAAUGAUUAAUGAAGAGCUUAUACAUAUCGACGAAAUAGAUGAAGAAAAUGCGCUCCACGAAGUCGAAGGUAAUAGUUCCGAGGAAGAAAAUUAUGAACGAAAAAAGGAGCUUGCACUUACAUUCUCCAUUUUUUGAAAAUUAAAACAGUGACACUUUCUUACGAACAUUAUAUUUGAAGAAGUAGGAAUAACAUAUAAAAUUGGGAGGAAUGAUGAUUGAUAAAAACGCUUUUAUCAAUUCAUAGAGCGCAAAAAAGUUGGCAUAGAACAUUAAGAACUGGAGAAAAUGAAUAUAUGCAUUUAAUUGCUAACUAUUUGCUAAUUCGAAAUUCAUAAUUGCUAACUCUUUUAAUUAAUUAUUUAAUUAGUUAUUGAUAAUUGAAAAUGUGAAAUUUUUUUUUAUUUCUUAGUAAAGCAACGUAAUUGGCCACAGCAGAAAAAAAAUGAAUAAGUGCAGUAAAUUGCUAACAAAAUGUUUAUUUAAAAUCCAUAACUUCUAACUUUAUUAAUUAAUUAUUUAAUUACUUAUUAAUAAUUACAAAUGUGGAAACGUCAUGAGGAGAUUAUAUGUUAUACGCAUGCGAAACCACAAAUUCAAGAUGCAAGCGCACUUUGAAAAAAAUAAAAGUAAAGUUGGUAAACCUACACGGGAUAUAUUUAAAGUUGAUUUCCAAAGUAACAACCAUGGAGACUAUACAAGGAACACGAGCUCCAUGUAUACAAAUGGGAUAUAAAAAUAAGAAGGCGCCUGUGUUCUAUUUCGUUUUUAUAUGAGAACAUACCCAUCAUAUAGGUUAAAAGAAGUGUUCCUUUUUUUUAAUAAACAUACUUAUAUGACUUCAAAAA
Molecule: long non-coding RNA, 1474 nt
Filed under: Polistes fuscatus (common paper wasp)
Lineage: Eukaryota; Metazoa; Arthropoda; Insecta; Hymenoptera; Vespidae
Description: uncharacterized LOC122526365
Source: RNAcentral